This 253-nucleotide ribosomal RNA is filed under the name uncultured bacterium. Its description in RNAcentral is "partial 16S ribosomal RNA". It matches the Rfam family "Bacterial small subunit ribosomal RNA", at positions 524 to 776 of the family's 1533-position model. The record is from RNAcentral.
UACGGAGGGUGCAAGCGUUGUCCGGAAUCACUGGGCGUAAAGGGCGCGUAGGCGGCUCAUGAAGGCUGUGGUGAAAGUCCGGGGCUCAACCUCGGAUCGGCCGUGGCGACUCGUGGGCUGGAGCACUGUAGAGGCGGGUGGAAUUCCGGGUGUAGCGGUGGAAUGCGCAGAUAUCUGGAGGAACACCAGUGGCGAAGGCGAGUCCCUGGACAACUCCUGACACUGAGGCACGAAAGCUAGGGGAGCAAACAGG